UAACCACUCAAGCCUGUCUUGGUGUUGGGGAUUGCGAAUCUUGCAGCCCUAGAGUCCAGUAGCGUCACCUGUAGGUCCUAAGCGUAGUAAUUUCUCCUCGCUACAGAGCCUGCCGGUGGAUAGUGUAAAUCCAGUUAAGUCUGUGUGUCCUGCUAUUAAACCCCCAAAUUUUAAAA
This 176-nucleotide unclassified non-coding RNA is filed under the name uncultured Leotiomycetes. Its description in RNAcentral is "sequence contains ITS2". The record is from RNAcentral. RNAcentral also lists the same sequence under 1 other name. Lineage: Eukaryota; Fungi; Ascomycota; Leotiomycetes.